UGGCAGACCUGCCUUCGCCAGCGCCA
RNAcentral lists this non-coding RNA (26 nucleotides) under Homo sapiens (human). Lineage: Eukaryota; Metazoa; Chordata; Mammalia; Primates; Hominidae. The record is from RNAcentral.